Molecule: long non-coding RNA, 1876 nt
Organism: Daucus carota subsp. sativus
Lineage: Eukaryota; Viridiplantae; Streptophyta; Magnoliopsida; Apiales; Apiaceae
Exons: 2
Source: RefSeq, a predicted model, not a curated record
UUCUUUUGCUACUUUUAUACAAAAUGUUUCGAUUCGUAUUAUUGAGGAGUUAAAACUUGCUCAGAGUCUCAAAAUUUAAAACGCAUUAUUAUUCUUCUAAAAAAUUUACUCUUCGAUGCUACAUAUUACUACUAGUACUACUGAUUAUCGUAUGGAGGAGUUAAAGCUUGCUCGGAGUCUUGAAAUAUAAAAUUUUUAAUUAUUUUUUGAAAAAAUAACUCUUUGAUGCUACAUAUUACUACUACUACCACUGAUAAUCGUAUUGAGGAAUUAAAGCAUGCUCGGAGUCUCGAAAUAUAAAUUUUUUAAUUAUUUUUCGAAAAAAUAAUUCUUUGAUGCUACAUAUUACUACUAGUACUACUGAUUAUCGUAUUGAGGAGUUAAAGUUUGCUCGGAGUCUCCAAAUAUAAAACACUUAAUUAUUUUUGAAAAAAAUUAAUUCUCUCAUACUAGCAUAUAUUGCUAGUACUGCUAUUGAUUACCAAUCCCAAAACAGUCUGUAGUAGGGUAGUAGUAGCAUGUAGUUAAAGUAGUUGUAGUAAUGUUGGGAAAAGCAAUUAAUGGUGAUUCUUUGGAGCCAUUUUUUAACAGAUUGAUUCAUCAGUGUGACUUUUUAGCUGUGAUUUCCUAUGUCACUCAAUAAAUUCGAAUCCCACUUAGAUUUAAUUCAGCUUUGAUAGUGAUUGUGGUUAAGGAAACACAACACAAUAACACUAGGAGUAGCUGCAGAAAUUGCCUGCACUGCACUGUGAAGUCAUUUUCUUUCAUUACUCUCCACACAAACUGCCUUUUCUCAUCUUUUGCAUUUUCCAUGAUUUUUAUUCAAGAGUUCCAAGAAUUCUUCUACUCCCUCCGUCUCAAUUUAUAGGUUCAUUUUGGAAUAAACACACAUAUUAAGAAAAAAGUUGGUUGGAUGGAAUCUUAUCACAUGUAUCAUUAAUUAGUGCAUUGAUAAGUGAGAAUAUUGUUGAGUUUCAAAAAAAUCACAAUAAAUAUAGGGAUUUAGUGCAUUGAGAAAUGAGAAUAAUGUUGAGUUUCAAAAAAAUCACAAUUAAUAUGUAGAUAAAUUUGUAUUGAAAAAAGAGAGGGACAAGUAUUUUGGGACAAAUUUUUUUUCCAAACUGGACAUAUAAAUUGAGACGGAGGGAGUACUACUCUUCUAUUAUCCCCAACAGUGUAAAAUUCAAAUUUGAUGACUUUAUGGAGAAAUGGAUUGGUUUGUUGACUAAUUAAAAGUGAAAUCAGAUGGUGGGCUGGGAGAGUAUUUUAGUGGGGCUUAAUUUAAAAUGCUACUCCCUCCGUCCCUAUUUAUCUGUCCACUUUGGGACUAAAAAGUUGUCCCAAUUUAUCUGUCCAUUUAUACAAUCAAAGCAAAAAAUUUCACUUUUACCCUUGUUUAGGUUUACAAUGCGACUCUUAAAAGUUAAACAUGUUCAGUUUAAUGCUCAUAACUAAUCUAAAGAACUGGAGAGGUCUUUGACUUUACUAUCUUCUAGGAAUAAACAUUAUGGCUAUUAAUCCCCUACUGAUACUCUUUGAGUAUAUAAACUCUUGUAUCACCAUUCUUCUACCAUCAUCGAUCCAGAAUUUUAGUUCAACUAAGCUAAAAGCUGACAACGGUGGGCAACAAAGAGCUGGUUUGGAGUUCGAUUUGAACGAGUUGUCGACGCCUGAGAUGGACUUGGCUUUAAGCGAAUCAGUCUCGGAAAUUAUAUAUAUUUUCGCGGCUAUUUACUUUCCUCUUGUUUUGCCGUAUCUUUGAUAAGAGAAUUUUGCAAUAUGUAAAGAUGUUUUUGUUCUAGCAAUGUUAUUACAACUCAAAUCGGAAUGAGACUUUGAUCUUAGUUAUAUAAGUGCUAUGAAUGAUCUUGAUUUC